UUUUAGCUGUUAUAAUAUGGAAAGUUUCAGAUUUAUUUUCACUCAUUUCAGUCAGUAGAUAUGGAUUCUCUAAUAAAAGACGAGUCAGGAACAAAGAUGAAAGCCUUUGAUAUUUUCACUAUUGUCAUUAAAUACCUCAAAGAACAAAUUAUUGCAAAAUUGAAACAAUCGUGUAGAGACAUUCGUGCAGAAGAAAUACAUUAUGUGAUAACUGUUCCGGCUAUAUGGGAAGACAAGGCCAAAUUGUUCAUGAGAGAGUCAGCGAAAGAGGCAGGAAUAAAAAGAAACCAGUUAACAAUUGCACUGGAGCCAGAAGCAGCGUCUGUGUAUUGUCAAGAAUUGAAGAUAGAUCGAGACAUAAAAAACAAUAUUACUUUCUCAGAAACAAUCAUGAAAUACGUUGUGGUGGACCUUGGAGGUGGAACAUCAGAUAUAGCAGUCCACCAACGACAGCCAGAUGAUAUUCUGGAGGAAGUUGUUCCGCCAAGUGGUGGAGCUUGGGGUGGUAUUGCUGUUGAUGAUGUGUUUCUACUAUUUUUGGAAAAUGUAUUAGGUACAACAGUAAUGAAGGACCUAAAGCUAACAGAAUUGGAGGACUACACUGCACUUAUGCAUGAAUUUGAAGUUAAAAAACGAUUGAUCAAAUCAGAUACGACUUCAGACAUAGUUAUUACAAUGCCUGUCGGUCUUUUGGAUAUCAUCAAGAGACACUGCGGAGGAAUAGAUGCAGCUAUAAUGAAAUCCAAAUAUGGUGGUUCCAUUUUCGUCAGUGGUCAAAAAUUCUUUAUAAACCAACAAAAGUUUAGAGAACUGUUUAAGCCUACUAUCGACGAAUUAUUAAAAUAACUUGACCAACUUUUCCAUCAUCCGAAAGUUUCAGACAUACAAGAUAUCAUAAUGGUUGGCGGAUUUUCAGAAUGUGAACUUGUACAAAGAGCAACGAAAGAUAAAUUUCCUAAAAAGAAAAUAAUCAUUCCUGACGAAGCUGGCCUUGUAGUUCUUAAAGGAGCCGUGUUAUACGGUCAUCAGCAUUUAUACGGUCAUCAGCAUAAACUAAUACGCAGUGAGGCCAUUGAUGCAGCGAAAUUAUUUGUGGCGGCAAUUGAUUUUGGAACUACUUAUUCAGGGUAUGCAUUUUCAGCUAAAAGUACGCCAAACGACAUAUUCACAUGCAGUUGGCAAAAGAGUACUUUGGUGUCCAUGAAAGCUCCAACGUCCAUUCUUCUCGACAAAGAAAGAAACUUUGUGGCUUUUGGAUUUGAAGCCGAAACUAAAUAACUUGACAGCCUCGAAAAUGGUGAUUCUGAUUCUGAUGACGAGGAUAGUGGUCCUAAAGAUGUGUAUCAUUACUUUAAUCGAUUUAAAAUGAUGUUGCAUAAUCAGACGGUGAAUUUAGACACGACAAUUAGAGACCAGAACGGUUUGCAAAUGAAGACAUUUGACAUAUUUUCCUUUGCAAUCAAAUACCUGAAAGACCAAGCCAUUGGAAGGCUAGUCAAAACACUUAAGAAUGUGGAAAAAAAUGAUAUUCACUACGUUCUUACUGUUCCGGCCAUAUGGGACGAUCAGGCAAAAAUAUUUAUGAGAAAAGCUGCUGAAAAGGCAGGAAUAAAAGGCAAAGAUUUGACUAUAGCUUUGGAACCAGAAACAGCUUCCAUUUAUUGCCAGGAAUUGCGGACAAACAGGGAUGGCAAUUCAAACAAAACCUUUUCCGAAACAAUCAAGAAAGGCACUAAAUAUGUAGUAGUAGAUCUAGGAGGUUUGUUAAAAAUGCUA
This is a long non-coding RNA of Mytilus californianus (California mussel), 1776 nucleotides long. RefSeq lists it as uncharacterized. The transcript is spliced from 6 exons. NCBI's taxonomy places the organism in Eukaryota, Metazoa, Mollusca, Bivalvia, Mytilida, Mytilidae. The record is from RefSeq and is a predicted model, not a curated record.